RNAcentral lists this unclassified non-coding RNA (251 nucleotides) under uncultured Pleosporales. RNAcentral's name for it is "sequence contains ITS2". The record is from RNAcentral. Lineage: Eukaryota; Fungi; Ascomycota; Dothideomycetes; Pleosporales.
AACGCACAUUGCGCCCCUUGGUAUUCCAUUGGGCAUGCCUGUUCGAGCGUCAUUUAACCCUUCAAGCUCACGCUUGGUGUUGGGCGUCUGUCCGCGCUUUCGGGCGUGGACUCGCCCCAAAUCCAUUGGCAGCGGCUCCGCCGGCUUCUCGCGCAGCACUUUGCGCUCAGGAAGACCUUCGGCGGGCUCGCGUCCAUCAAGUCACCCCUCAUUUUGACCUCGAAUCAGGUAGGGAUACCCGCUGAACUUAA